RNAcentral lists this transfer RNA (90 nucleotides) under Wolbachia endosymbiont of Pentalonia nigronervosa. RNAcentral's name for it is "tRNA-Ser". It matches the Rfam family "tRNA". Rfam says of the family: Transfer RNA (tRNA) molecules are approximately 80 nucleotides in length. Their secondary structure includes four short double-helical elements and three loops (D, anti-codon, and T loops). Further hydrogen bonds mediate the characteristic L-shaped molecular structure. tRNAs have two regions of fundamental functional importance: the anti-codon, which is responsible for specific mRNA codon recognition, and the 3' end, to which the tRNAs corresponding amino acid is attached (by aminoacyl-tRNA synthetases). tRNAs cope with the degeneracy of the genetic code in two manners: having more than one tRNA (with a specific anti-codon) for a particular amino acid; and 'wobble' base-pairing, i.e. permitting non-standard base-pairing at the 3rd anti-codon position. Lineage: Bacteria; Pseudomonadati; Pseudomonadota; Alphaproteobacteria; Rickettsiales; Anaplasmataceae. The record is from RNAcentral.
GGAAAGGUGGCUGAGUGGUCUAAAGCACACGCUUGGAAGGCGUGCACAUAUGGAAAUAUGUCGAGGGUUCGAAUCCCUCCCUUUCCGCCA